Molecule: ribosomal RNA, 429 nt
Filed under: Bacillota bacterium
Lineage: Bacteria; Bacillati; Bacillota
Description: Firmicutes bacterium partial 16S ribosomal RNA
Rfam family: Bacterial small subunit ribosomal RNA
Source: RNAcentral
UAGGGAAUCUUCGGCAAUGGACGGAAGUCUGACCGAGCAACGCCGCGUGCGUGAAGAAGGUUUUCGGAUCGUAAAGCUCUGUUGUUAGAGAAGAACGUUGGUAGGAGUGGAAAAUCUACCAAGUGACGGUAACUAACCAGAAAGGGACGGCUAACUACGUGCCAGCAGCCGCGGUAAUACGUAGGUCCCGAGCGUUGUCCGGAUUUAUUGGGCGUAAAGCGAGCGCAGGCGGUUCUUUAAGUCUGAAGUUAAAGGCAGUGGCUUAACCAUUGUACGCUUUGGAAACUGGAGGACUUGAGUGAAGAAGGGGAGAGUGGAAUUCCAUGUGUGGCGGUGAAAUGCGUAGAUAUAUGGAGGAACACCGGUGGCGAAAGCAGCACUCUGGUCUGUAACUGACGCUGAGGCUCGAAAGCGUGGGGAGCAAACAGG